This 27-nucleotide small RNA is filed under the name Bombyx mori (domestic silkworm). RNAcentral describes it as "ovarian small RNA-21546". Lineage: Eukaryota; Metazoa; Arthropoda; Insecta; Lepidoptera; Bombycidae. The record is from RNAcentral.
UACUGUAAUAAUGCCCAACGAAGUGGA